This is a long non-coding RNA of Meriones unguiculatus (Mongolian gerbil), 921 nucleotides long. RefSeq lists it as uncharacterized. NCBI's taxonomy places the organism in Eukaryota, Metazoa, Chordata, Mammalia, Rodentia, Muridae. The record is from RefSeq and is a predicted model, not a curated record. The transcript is spliced from 4 exons.
CGUCCUCUUCCUCUGGCCAGAUCAUGUCUUCCAGAAGCUCUGUUCAUCUCUGGUUCCCUCGGUUGAUCUGUAGCUAAUUAAUCCUGCGUUGUGGAGAAGCAGCUGAGAUAAAAUCUUGCCUAGCCCCCUAGGCCUCUGCUGGGACUCCCAAAGACCCCGGCCUAAGUAACAGACCUACUUCAUGCUCUUGCAGUGCCAGGCUGGUAGAAGACUGAAUGGUUCCACUUUCACGGCCACAGAAGCUGGGGUGUAGUGAUCGUGGAGGGACGUGUAGCUGGAGGUGCCGGGUCCAGUCCCUAGGAAACCCACUGGUUUUGAUCUGAAACUCUUCAGUCUGGUUGAACACAGAGGACCGCUCUCAAAUGCCAGCUCAAACCAUACCUUCCUAUACUACGGUUCCCGCCUUGACCUGGACACCAUGUGAACAGGGACAAAAUGAAGAACUCAAGAGGCAGAAGCAGGUGGAUCUCUGUGAAUUCAAGGUCAGUCUGGUCUAUAAAUUGAGUUCCGGGCCAGCCAGAGCUCCAUGGAGAAACCUUGUUUGGGAGGUGGGGCGGAGAAGGAAGACUGACAGAGGAUACAACAAAUAAAUGUUUUGCCUGCAUGUAUUUUUUUUUCUUUUAAAAUCAUUAUGUACAAUGUUCUGCCUGCAGGCCAGAGGAGGACACCAGAUGGCAUUAUAGAUGGUUAUGAGCCACUGUGUGGAUGCUGGGAAUUGAACUCAGGACCUCUGGAAGGGCAGUCAGUGCUCUUUACCCUCUGAGCCAUCUCUCCAGCACCACAUUCAGCAAUUCUGAAUGUCACUGAGAUGCAAAAUUGGCCAGCUGCCAACACUGGCCCCACAGACCCCUAGUCUUCAGCUUCUUCCUCACCCUGGGAAUUCUGACUCUUCUGAAGAGUUUCUGCCUCAGCUGCUCCACA